GGCGGUUCUUGGGUGACGCACUGCACCCCGGAAAUGGGCUCCCUCCUCUCUGGUUCUGGGUGCGUUACCCGAGAACUGCA
Non-coding RNA from Myotis lucifugus (little brown bat), 80 nucleotides. NCBI's taxonomy places the organism in Eukaryota, Metazoa, Chordata, Mammalia, Chiroptera, Vespertilionidae. The record is from Rfam.